This is a long non-coding RNA of Sinocyclocheilus grahami, 190 nucleotides long. RefSeq lists it as uncharacterized. Lineage: Eukaryota; Metazoa; Chordata; Actinopteri; Cypriniformes; Cyprinidae. The transcript is spliced from 3 exons. The record is from RefSeq and is a predicted model, not a curated record.
CUGUUCUGAACAACAGAGAAGAAGAUGGACAGCAUGAGACUGCGAAUCAAACAGAUGAUGGACGUCUCCAGGAUUAAAGCGACUCUCGGUGUUGUUGAAGACGAGAGGAAUCGCUACAUGGAAAGUCUCCUCGCUGAACAGAAAGCCAGACAGGAGCUGGAGGAGCAAUAUCAGAAGGUCAUGCAUGACC